UAAUCAUCAUCAUCAUCAUCAUCAUCAUCAAUCAAUCCUUCCCUAACAUCUCCAGUAAUGCCCCUUUGUCCCCCCUUACAAGGACCAUAAGCCUUGCUACAAGCAAGAUAAUAAAUGAAGUUAGCAAAACCUAAACUAGAAAGCAGCCAGUAAUAGUAAUCAUAAUGUCCUUUGUUGAUGUUGCUUGAAACCCAACUCUCUUGAUUUGCUUCACCAAUAAACCCACGAACAUUACUUACUAUAAAACUGGCCACCAAGCUUGCAGCAGACAGUCCAAUACUAAAAAGAUUCGAGGCCACGCUAGACAUGCUUUUAGGCAAUUCAGUGUAGAAGAACUCAUUCAGUCCAACACCAUUCAUAGCCUCAGAAAAUCCAAGUAAGAAAUAGAAUGGCAAUAACCACAUUGCAGACAUGUGCGUAACCGCGUCAGGAAUAUCUGAAAUUCCUUCCCUGAUUGCAAUUUCUCGUCGCACCCUCUCUAUAAUUGCCAGUACUGCCAUGGAAGCAGCCGAGACCAGAAUCCCGAUUCCUAUUUUCUGUUUCAAGCCGAGACGUGUUGGUUUUCCCGUGAUUUUUGAUGCUAGAGGGAUGAUUACGCGAUCGUAGAGAGCAAUCCACAUUGUUGCAGAGAGCAACAGAAAUGCGUAGAAUGAUCCAGCAGGAAUUUCAAAUUUCGAAGUGAUAUGUCGGUUCAUAGUGGAUGCCUGGAGUAAUAGGAAAGAGUUUUGACAGACAUUUACAGACACCAACACCCCUGUCGACCAUAUUGGGAUUACCUUUAUUAGUGCUUUCAGCUCUUCUACUUGAUCUACUGUACAAAGACUCCAUGGAUCUGAAGCUCUUCCAUCUGGCAUCAAGUCUUCUUCAGGAUUCUUAAUAACACAAGCUUUGUUGAGAAACCUAAGGCAAGAUAAGACAAAAGGAAAUCCUUAUAGGAACUAUCAUAUAUAAAAUUACCUUAUUAUACAAGUGCUUCACAGGUAGGUUAAUUACCUUAUUCUUUCACUUGGCACGACAAGCGCGGAUCCCUUCCUAUGAUGAUACAGCUCAUCCGUGUCUAGUGAAGAUAAUUCAAUCCUUCUCUUUCUAAAGGAGGCCACGAGAACUCGAGCAAAUCCGAUGAGCCAGCUUGCCUUAGCCUUUGGCUUGACAUAAAUGGAAGAAGCCAAGAAGAACGAAAGAGUUGACAGGAUCAUGAGAACCACAGGAACUCCGAAACCCACCUUCCAGCCCAUGGCCUCUUGAAUGUAAACCACACAAGUCAUGGAAAUAAAUACAGAAGCUGAUGAUAUAACAUAGUACCAACUGAAGAAGCUCUCUAAUAUUCCAGCAUGUUUAAGGCUGUCCCUCUUGCUCAAUUGAUCAGCACCAAAGGCCAGGGAGCAUGAUCUUAUGCCACCAGCUCCGAUAGACAUAAGGCCUAAGCAAAAAUAUAGAAACAAAAGCUGUGGUGUCGUCGCGUCGUUAUUGCAUAUGCUACUAAAUUGGGCGCAAGAAGGCACCGUUGCCCCAGGAAUUAUUGUUGUCAACCACAAUAGAACCAUUCCCUGCACAUUUAUUUGAUUCCAGUUAAUAUUUUGACAUGAUCAAGAGUUUUGAGAAAGUUUUUUUUCCUUCUUCUAAACUUCAACGUCGUAUUAAUUAGAGAAGAGCAAACAACUUUAGUGUGUGUGUGAGAUGAAGAUUUGUCAAUUUGGACAACACAUGAUAACAGGUCUUGUUGAAGAUUUUUAUAAAAGGAUUUAAGAAUAAAAUAGAUAUAAUUAAACAUGUUGAUAUAUAUAUAUAUAUGUAUAUGUGUGCGUGCGUGCGUGUGUAAGGAUGGAUAACUAUAUAUUUUUCCAAGCUUUAUCCACGAUAGCUUGUUACUUGUUUAUUAAUUCUUGUGAGAUUGGCUUCCGAAACAAGCUAUGGGUCCAUCCAUAUGCAGAUAUCUCGUUACUUAUAAAAUAUUCAGAAAUAUAAUAAUAAAAUAUAUUGUUGUUUUCAUCAGCUAUAUUAAAAGGAAUUUAUCAUCCAGUAAUAAAAUAUUACUGGUGGAGGAGGAUUCAAUAUGCGGCAGUGUUUGGAACGUUGGAAUGAGGUUUCCAUCGUGUUUAAAAUUUUUAUUUUUAAUUUUUUUAUAUAUAUUUUAAAAUUAAGUGAAAAUGAAACUUAUCAAUUACCCGGGCUCUCUCACGUGGUGUUAAAAAACCCCUUUCAAAAAAAUAUAUAUAUCUGAAGUUAUUAAUGAGUUCGAUAUAAAAUAAUAUGUAUUAACUCUUACAUAUUUUAAUUGAAAAUCCUUUAAAUUUAAAAUUUAUAGAGGUUAAUACUAUAACAUGUUUUAAAUUUUAAAUUUAAUUAAAAAAUUUAACACGUUUAGUAUAUUAAAAAUUAUUUCAAUUUAAAAACUCAUUUAAGAUUAGCAAUGGACUUAAUUAAUUGGAAUCACCACUUUUGUUUGUGAGAGAAUCGCCACUGAGCCAUAGAUCCGUUGGCCGGACACAUGGUUGUCUUCGUGACAAACAGAAGGGAGAAAAAUAGAGAGACGAGAGAUGAUGCCAAGUUGGAAAGAAAUAAUGUUACCAGAAGGCUCGCAAUACAUCCAAAGCCGAUCAUCGGGUAUCGACCCACAUAUGUAUCAGCAAGAAAAGCCCCAAUAAUUGGCAUGAAAUUCCCAGCAGCUGAGUAGAGGAAGAGUAUUUGGGCACCGCUAGCUGCAUCCAUACCAUACUCUCUAGUCAAAUACAGUAUCAUAUUUGUUGAUAGCCCAAAACUUGCUAGCCUCUCCAGUGCCUCAUUUGCUGUCAAAACAUCAAUUUAAACCACAUUACUUGAACAGUAAUAUAUAUAAGCUGCCAUGUAACCUGCUGCUCAUAAUAUAUGCGUCUGCGUGCAUGUUGCUGAAUGUGUAUUAAAUACCUAUGAUGAAAAACAAGGCUCUUAUGCCACCCUUCGGGCUGCUCAAGAGUGGCUCUGUGAUCAUCUCCUUCGGAUCUGAUUGUGCACUCUGUCGAUGGAGGGAAAGAGUCUCACAGCUUCUUCAGUCCACUAAUUUGUUGUGAGAGAUCAUUUGGUGCACGAUGAAUACAUAUAUACACCCAGAGAUUUGUUGCCUUAAGUAAGCUCCUUUGUUUUCCCGCUGCUGGUUUUGGCUUCAUUAGCUGUUCCUCUAGGAUUCAUUAGCUGUCCUUCCAUUGAUUCUAUCCAUAAAAAAAGAAAUAUAGAUUGAACGUUGAUGUCACUGGAUAAUAAUUCUUUAGUAAACGUAAGAUUUUCUCAAGUUGCAAUUUUUUAUUUCACUGUAACCUGUUUCCCGGAAGAACAGCGUAAAUUCGAGCACACAAAUAUUCUAUUCAUCUUUUAAGCUAAGUAUCCAAGCACAGACAAGCUGAAUUUUGUAGAAACAGAAUUCUUCCUUGCAGGUUUUACUUAGCUCUUGCCCAAUUGGAUUUAGGACCAAGUUUUUGGAUUAAAUUAUGUAUCCUUGUUAAUCCAAUCAACUUCAUGUAUGAUCUUCCAACAAGGAUAUUGCACAUGUCAGGUGGUUUUUUGGUACACUGCCACUACACCGUCUCUGACACAGUUUCACAAAAAAACUGAAAGGGAAAACCACCCCGCUUAUUGUACUUCAACUUGCAUAUAUAAUAAAUUGAAAGGGAAAACAUUCAUUGUAUUGUUCAUAAAUUGCUAUUCAAUACGCAUUCAUUGUACUCUUUGCUUAUUAUUAUUAUAUUAUAAAAUAAAAUUGUAGAAGUUGAUAGCAAUUAGCUCAAUGCUAUGCAUCAACUUUGUUCUGCAAAAUCAAUCAAUAUCAAGCUAGGAAUAAAAAAUUGUCUCCCAUUGCAGACAAGCUGAAUUUUGUAGAAACAGAAUUCUUCCUUGCAGGUUUUACUUAGCUCUUGCCCAAUUGGAUUUAGGACCAAGUUUUUGGAUUAAAUUAUGUAUCCUUGUUAAUCCAAUCAACUUCAUGUAUGAUCUUCCAACAAGGAUAUUGCACAUGUCAGGUGGUUUUUUGGUACACUGCCACUACACCGUCUCUGACACACAGUUUCACAAAAAAACUGAAAGGGAAAACCACCCCGCUUAUUGUACUUCAACUUGCAUAUAUAAUAAAUUGAAAGGGAAAACAUUCAUUGUAUUGUUCAUAAAUUGCUAUUCAUACGCAUUCAUUGUACUCUUUGCUUAUUAUUAUUAUUAUUAUUUGCUUUGCUUUUGACGAUUUGAUAAAAUAAAAUUGUAUAGAAGUUGAUAGCAAUGAGCUAAAUGCUAUGCAUCAACUUUGUUCUGGAAAAUCAAUCAAUAUCAAGCUAGGAAUAAAAAAUUGUCUCCCUGUUUCUAGGUUUGAAAGAGUAAAAAGAAUAAGGAGGAAGAAAAUUAUUGGUUUGAUACAAUGAAACUCGUUUUUCCUCAGCAAUGUGCUCAUUGUUUCUUUGUAGGGGACCAUAUUAAUUUGAACAUUAAUUUUAUCUUAAACCCUGUAAUUCCACAACCUUUAGCCUACUCGGUCAGUUAACUUUCUGUUAGUGAGUUGUCAUCCUUUUGCAUUACUUUUUCAUUGGUUUGUUUUAUUUAUUUUUUUAAACAAAUGGGGGUACUGUUUAAUUUUUUUUUAUAUAAAACUAGGACCAGAUUCAACCCCUCCUAUUCUAUUAUAACGUGUUUGAUGUGGGACCCAUAUAUGCCAUGUAUUAUGGAUAAUUGUUAGUGAUAUCGCAAGUGUACGCGUGGUGUAAUUGUUGGGAUUAGAGUUAUUAAGAAAUUCAAGUGUACUGGUUUUAUCAAAAAUUUUAAGGACAAUGGACUGGUUGUAACUAGAAAAGAUAUUAGCAUCCCUAGUACACCUUACAUGAGGUAGCACCCUUAGCAUACCUUACCCAAGCUAAGCUGCAUUGCAUGACCUGUGUCAUAACCUAUUUUUGGGUUCUUCCCAAUUACAUUUCAUUUUCUUCUUCUUCUUCUUCUUCAAAAAAAAAAUAACAACAGAACACCGAAAUAGUGCCGUUUUGAACAACAAUGUUCUCCUUCUUCCCUGCGCAUACAAAGACAGGGAAUAAAAAGAUUGUAAAUCGUUUUUCCCACUCUCUCCCCCCCUAACUUGACCACUCACCCGACACAACCCAUACCCCUACGUACCCUACCACCACGCCGAAGAAAAGACAGAGGCGUCAUGCCCUGCAAACAGGUGGCCACCUUACCCUGUAGAGGUAAGGUAGCACCGCUCCCUCCUGCACCAUGAAGGGAUAGAGCAGGGGGCUCCCUCUUCUCCUGCUUAUAAAUAGAAGGGGAGGAGAACGAACCGAAGGGAAGGGGAAAAAUUUAAGGAAUGAGAAAUAGAGGGUUUUGAGAAGAUAGAAAUAUUUGAAAAAAAAAACCAGGAAACAGAAAGGAGAUUUUAGAGAGAAGAAAGUUGAAAAACAGAGGGGGAUUGUUUUGAAAACAGAAACUGAACGAAGGAGAAAUACAGAAAACGCUAAGAAAGGAAGAAGAAUCACUGUUUCAGCUGUGGUUCGCCACCUACACUGCCAACACCAUUGUUAGAGAGAGAAAGAACAAGAGAUAGGGAAGCUGGGGGUGGACGAAGGGGAGAAAAGAAAGGAAACAAAAAAUAAAAGAAAGAAGAAACACAGAGAAGUAGAGGAGAGAAGAAGAAGGAUCGCCGCCUACAACCACCUCCAUUCUUCCUCUCCACGGCCACCAGCGAGCACCACUGUGAGCCACCGUAGGUCAGCUUCUUCUCCUUCUUGGUUCUGCUCGGCCCCCACCCCAUCUCCACUAUUCUUCUAAUGAACAAUGGAGAGUGAAUUAUAAUUCACUCUCCAAUGUUCACGUAGCAUCUGAACAGCGGAGAGCCAUUGUUCACUGUCCGGCUUAGUCCAAAAUUUUUUUUAAAAAAAAUCAUUUCAAAAAUUUGUAAUUUUCCCGUGUAUUUUUCUACUGAAUUUUGCUUAAUAUUGGUUUGUAUUUUUAUACCGUAAAGAUACUAAUCCGGUAUUAAAAUACCCGUCUUUCUUUGAAAUGAUGUAAAAAGAAAAUUAUAAAAAACACAAAAAAUGUCUUGCUUUCUUGCAUACGACCAAGUCUCUAAAAAAAUCAUAUCGUAUUUCCAUACAAAGAAAAUUUCAAAAAAAAUGUUUUAGCAUGCAUUUUCGCUUUAAUAACCAGUUUAUUAAAGUCAUGAGAACUAGGUUAAUAUUUCAAAAACUCCAAAAUUAUCAUUUUGUUUUCUUUUAAUAUUAAGGAUUUCGCGCUUAUACGUAAAGCGUACUCUCAAUAUUAAAAGGAUAGUUUUUUUAUUGACAUUAGAAUGAUUAAGUUUAACCUAAUAAGAUAAGGAUCUCCUUACCGAAGGGAACGUUUCUUAAACCAUAGAUAGACCAACAAUUAGACCUUAACGUUUAUCAGACAAUCAAACAAUGCAGCUUACCUUAGUAGGGCGUAUUUGGGGUGUUAAUACCUUCCCUUUACGCAAUCAAUUCCUGUGCCUGAUCUCUAAGACCAGUUAGGGUGACCAAAAUAUUAGGUGGCAACUUCCAUUUCAUUUUUCCAUUGAUAAAAGACAAGAAUCCCUUGUCUCCUCAUAUUUGUCAGAUAGAUACCAUACCUGAGAGUGGAAGAUUCGCUAUGAUGUGCGCCCACAUGCGACAGUCUGAAUAUGAUUUAAAGGCUUUGAUGAGUUCUUAACCAACAGUUUGUUUAUGUCUUCGGAUGAAGAUUUAUUUGUGUUAAUAAAUCUGAUGUUUUGAAUUUAUUAUAGGCUCGUGUCUCCAAACAAAUUCUUAUGGAAAAGGUUUAUGUAGGUGCGCUUUACCUAUCUUCGAAGGUAGAAGAAUUUUUCACAACUCGUGUGUUGUGGUGAAAAUACUUCCAAUUAAAAUGUAUUGGACCUAGUAAUCUCAUUCAAAUGAGACACCUCUUUCAAGUAAAGAUAGGCAAUCCAGACAGCAUCUAUAAUCUUUUUUUUUUGUUUUUUUUGUUUUAAACAUUAAAAAACACGUAAGAAAAUACACACACACACACACACAUUUGUUUAAUUAUAUUUUACUCACAUAAACUACAAUUAUAUUUUUUACAUAUCACUAAAAUUCAAAACAAUUCAGACACACACACAAUAGACAUUUAUAAUUUACAAAAUAGGCCUUUUAAAAUUCACAAAUUAAUCCAGAGAAAUUGCUAGAAUUUCAGGAACAGUGCUGGGAAGCUUCCAAGUUACAGGAACAGUGGCGGUGCGUGGGUCUCACACACCACCACCACUUACGGCGAGUGGAACAACAUGUCGUCACCGGUUAAGACAAGAAAUAGGUGGAUCAAAGACUGCUUCUUCUCUUUUCUCUUCUGUUUCUAUGUUGCUUUUUUUUUUUAUAUUCCCUUGCUUCUCUGUUUCUUCUUCUGUUUCUGAUGGUGAUGGUGCUGUUGUCGAUGGUGGCUCAAGGCAGUUCCUGUGGUGGCGAUGAGGAAGGUAAGCGGUGGUGCCCUUUUCUUUCCUUUCUGUUCCUUCCUUGUUUUUGUUUCAUCCCUUCUCCUUUCCUCUCAUUUUCUUUCUCUGUUUUAUGUCCUUUUGUUUCGUUCCUCUUUCUCUCCUCUCUGUCUCUAUUUCUCUCUCUGCCUUCGUCCUCUAUUCUUAAACAACCACCCCCCCGCCAGGCCUCUCCUUGAUCUCCCUUUAUUUUUCACCUCCUUUGUUUCCUUCUCUCUAUAUCAUCCCCUCUAUUUCAAACUAUUCCCUCAACCUUCUCUCCAUGUCUUUCUCUCCCCUUUGUUCUCUCUCUCUCUGGUCCUCUCAAGAAAACUCUUUAAUGUCCUCUCUAAAACUCUCCUGCAAAUCACCCCCCCUUUUCGUUCUCCCUACUCUCGUAUUUAUAAGGGGAAAAUGGGAGAAAGUACCUUACCAUGUCCAAUUGCGUCGAAAGGGUAGGGUGGCUGGGCAACCGCUAUGCAACUGUCCGUAAGGCUUUGUCUCCUUUGCUUUUCCAUCUUAGCAGGCCAAUAGGCGUGGGUCUUGUCAGUUUUGGGUUUUGGGAGAGAGAGGGAAAGAGAUGUUGCAGGGGAGAAAAUCUCCUUCUUCCCCACUUGUGCAUGUCUAGGGGAAGAAGGAGAUGUACAGUGCCAUUCAAAAUAGCACCGUUUCCCCCAUUAUUUUUAAUAGUGGAUGAAACGGUGUUAUUUUGAACAAAACACGUCAUAUCAUUUAAAUGAAAAUGGCACCAAAAAUUUCAAUUUCCAAAUCAAUAUUUAAUUUUCUAUUUAUUCAAUCAAGUCUUCAAUUGCAAUUUUGAUUUUAAGAAUCAAUUCAAUUGCAUCCCUGCCAAAUAGGAUGUCAGCCUAAAGUUGACCACCUUUUUUUAUUUCGGUCUUUGGUCUCGGAUUUAUGCAAUUUGACCCUCAAUUAAUCAAUGAACUUCCAUUUUCUCAAUUAAGUCUCUGAUUUGACCAAUUCAACUCUUAAAAAUUAUAAUUUGACCCUUGAACUUUAAUUUCUUCCAAUUAAAGCCCAAAUUGACUUAAAAAUCAAUUUUCUUGCAAUCAAACCCUUCAUAAAUUUAAUUAAACUUUCAAUAAAAUUUAAUUGAGUCCAUAAACAUCUGAUUUUAGAUUUUUCUUCCUUAAAUUGAAUUCUCUUUGUCAAUAGAGCUCUCAUCAGUAAAAAAUAUACUGUAAAAUUUCAAUAAUUGUAUUUUUAAACCUCCUCAACCAAUUUCUAGCCAUUUUAUAAGUGCUCUGCCAUCCUCUUCUCACUGCUAUUAUUUUUUUUGGAUUUAUUUUUUUUAUUUUGAAUAUAUUUUUUUAGUUUUGGAAGAAAAAAUAAAUUUGGGGAAUAACCCAAAAAUGGGUUAUGAUUGUUACCCUUUUUUUUUGCAAUGCUUAUGAUAGAAAGGCUCGUAGGAAACUUUAGAUUGUAAGCUUUGUAAAGAAGAAAAACAAAAAGAUAAUGAACUCACCAUAUCAAGAAAUGAUGAAUUGUUUUGAAAGUAUUUGAAGUGAGCGCUAGAAAGCGUACUCAGAGGUGAAAUUCAAAGAUUCUUGAAAUGAUUGAAUAAUCAUGGGUGACUUGCCCAGGGAAAAAAAUAAAAAGAUUUUUCAAGAUGGACUCAUCGUAAUAGGUGACCUCCCUGGGUUGAAAUAUACAAAGAUUUUUCCAAAAAAUAGUCUUAUUGUAACGGGUGACCAACUCACGCACACUCACCCUGGUCUAAUUUCAAGGGCGACCUGCCCAUACACACUAAUCCUGGUUUAUUUUCACAAGUGACCUGCCCUUUCGGUUAGGUUAACCUGAGAUCCCAUUUGGCGAUCUCUUUUAACUAGAACCAAAAUCGGUGUGUAGCUUGGUCAAGUUGAAAUCUCAUCUAGCAAUUCCCUUUAACCAAAGCUAAAAUUUAUAUGUGGUUGGGUUAACCUGAGAUCCCAUCUGUCGAUCUUCUUUAACCAAAACUAAAAAUAUAUGUGUGUGGUCUCAUUGUAAUGGGUGACCUACCCAAGUGAAAAAAAUAUGAAAAGUGGUCUCAUUGUAAUGGUUGACCUACCAAAGUGGAAGAUGAAAGUGAAGAUAGUCUCAUUGUUAUGGAUGACCUACCUAGAUGAAAAAUAAAAAGUGAAGAGUGGAAAAUGUUUUCAUUGUAAUGGGUGACCUAUCUAGAUAGAAAAAGAUAUGAAAAACGGUUUCAUUAUAAUGGGUGACCUACCCAAGUGAAAGAUGGUCUCAUUGUAAUGGAUGACCUACCUAGAUGGAAAAAAUGUGAAAAACAAUCUCAAUGUAAUAAGUGAAGUAUCCAAGUGAAAAAUGAUCUCAUUGUAAGGGGUGACAUACUCACAUGAAAGAUGGUCUCAUUGUAAUGAAUAAUCUACCCAAGUGGAAGAGGGUCUCAUUGUAAUGAGUGAGCUACCCAAAUAAAAGGAAUAUGAAGUGGUCUCAUUGUAAUGGGUGACCUACCCAGAUGAAAAAGUGGUCUCAUUGUAAUAGGUGACCUACCCGAGUGGAAAAUGAAAAAGUGGUCUCAUUAUAAUGGGUGACCUACCCAAGUUGAAGAGGGUAUCAUUGUAAUGAGUGACAUGCCCAAAUAAAAAGAAUAUGAAGUGGUCUCAUUGUAAUGGGUGACCCACCCAGAUGAAAAAUGGUCUCAUUGUAAAAAUAAAAAAUGGGUGACCCACCCAUAUGAAAAAUAAAAAAAUAGUCUCAUUGUAAUGGGCGACCUACCUGGGUGGAAAAUAUGAAAGCGGUCUCAUUGUAAUGAGUGACCUACCCAAAUGAAAAAUAAUUUGAAGAGUCUUGAAGGGACGACAUGAUAGGGCUCGAAGGGAGAUAAGGGCUCAAAGGCGCACUUGAAAUAACAUAGGGUUACGAAACGCACUACCUGAAAGAUAAGGGCUCAAAUAUGCACUUGAAAGUAGGUAGGGUUAGAAAACGCACUACCCAAUAGAUGAGGGCUUAAAGGUGCACUCAAAAGAAAGUGAGGGCUCAAAGGCGCACUCGAAAGGAGGUAGGGUUAUAAAACACACUAUCCAUAAUUAAGUUUAUCAACUUCAAUUCUAGCAAGGCUUUCUUCUGUUUUUGGCUCCUGCCUUAGAUCCCAACUGAUGCUCUGAACUACUUGAUGUGCCGUGAAUGAUUCGAAAAUCGGCAACAACGAAUCUAAUCAAAAUGGAUGAAGGAUGGGUAUGGUUGUGUUGUCUUUCUUUUGGUGUUUAGGCUGAAUUAUAGUGAUUUUAAGGUAAAUAAGAUGGAGGAUAGACUUGAAUGAUACUUUGAUAAGUCGAUCUUGACGCCACAAAGAUCAAUCUAGGAUUUCGACGCCACACUCUUUGUGAUUGAAGAGUGAUAAGUCAUGUAGGAUUCUUCACAAAAUCAAUUUGGAAGAACAACUCUUAAUUCUUUGAAUUAAGUUUCAAAUCUUGGCCAAAAGUCUUUAUUACAUAUUCUGAUACUAUAUUUAUGAUUGGAACAUCCCUUCAUAGUUAGGAAAAUUCAACAUGACAGAAGUCAAGUCCAAAAAUUAGACUUUGACAAAGUAACUAGACAAAUUUAACUAGCACAUGUUUUCUGACCUUAAUUGAAACAUAAACAGACCAAAUUUAAAACGGCUAUAACUUCUUGCACCAAAGUCCAAUGUAAUCAUGAUUAGACAAUUUAGAAAGAUCAUGUUCUAAACUUGAAAUCCAGACUUCAAAAUUGGGUUCAAAUUCAUCUACUAUUCUGACCGUAAACAACAUCAAUUUCUUUACUUAUUUGCAUUAUCAAUCCAAACACAAGUAGCCCAACAUUAAAAGAACCAUUAAGGGCUUUUCCCAUGUCCAAGUUUUAAUUGUAGGUAAAUAAGAACCUUUGAACCAAUUCUGAACAGAUUGCUAGCUUUUAACUUCGAAGCAGCUUCAAUCAUUCCAAUUUGACACGUCAAGGCCCUUUACAGUUGUUUCUCUCUCGUUCUUUUUAUUGGGCCAUCUAAAUCUUCUUGUAGAUUAGGUUCAACUUUACGAGUUGGAUUAUAAUCCCAUGAUGCACAUCACUACCCAAGAGGUGAUGAUGAAACACUAAUCUAUCAAUGUUAAAAGCAAUGCAUUAUGAUCGAUAUACAUGUAUACUUGAGAAAUAUAGGUCCUCUUUUCUUCAUGGAGUCUUCCUUUUCUCAAAGUUUGAGUCUUGGUAGUAAACUUCAAUGGCCUUUUCGCUUUUGCUUACCCGAGCCACAUUUUGAUCUUGACCUAUAAGAAGGGCUUAAUAUCAUCAUACCUCUUUGUCCUCCAACCUUUAUCUCAAACGUCACCAGCUAGCUCUGCCCCACAUUUUAUUUUUUUAGAAAGGGAAUCAUAGAGCCAGCCCUACCAUGUGUUUUUGGAUUGCCCCCUAGCUUGAUUAUACCCCCAAGUAUUCAAUUUGGAUUUUCUUUGGGGAUGAGGCUAUGUGAAGGAAGGUUUGGUUAUUGACAAGGAGUUGUUUUCAUGCAGAAUUUUUGGAAUUUCAAAGCUAUUCCAGACACAAAAAUCAUUUUGACAUCAGUUUAAAGCAAACUCAUUCUGAAGAAAUUCAAGUGAUUCCUAUGGACAAGUUUUUAUAAGUGAUGAAAGAAUUUUUGUUUUUCUUUUGGUGAAAAUGUGCAGUGAUGUUUUAUUGGUAAAAAAUGGUUCAAGAUUCAAUCUAAGGGUUUCAAAGAACCAAUCUUCAAAGCAUUCACUUUAUUUUCAUGAAUAAUAAAGCUUGUUUCUUAUGGGAAAGCAUUGCCUACUGAUCCAGAUUGCUUGCCUUUGAUCAGAAAGGGCUUGGUUGGGCACGUAAUGUAGGCUUUGGCUUUUGGUUAUAAAGAAAAGGAUAUUUGUUGGCUCAAAAGGUGUUUAAGGGAUUUCAAGACUAAAGAUUGUUGUUACUCAUUUUCGGACCCCACGUGCUGGAGACAGUGCAUACCUCUUAUGAACUGAGUGUAGGAGUUUAACUCAUGUUUGCUGGAAGAUUGACAAAAGCAGAGAAAGAAAUAUUUUUUUUUGAAACCCUGUUUGAGCUAUUUUUUGCUCUCUUUACCCUUCCCCUUUGCUACCAAAAUCGUCAGGUUUUCUUAGAUUGAUCAGGAGUCUUCAUAAUGCUAAAUUCGUUCCUUCUUUAUCUGGUCUUUAAGGUUGGAUAAAUCCCUCAGAAUUUGCACUUAAAAAACUAGUUAUGCUGCUGUCGUAAUUUUUUAUUCCAUCUUAGGUUUUGAUUCUAACUUGGUCUCGUACGAUAUCUGACCAUCCUAGCUAUAUUCUAUCACUCAUGACAUGUUGAAAAAUUGACCUACACCUUUAUUGGGUCCUAGGGAUCACUAUUCUUAGGGCAGACUCUCAGUCAUCAGAUCUGGAUGCUCGACAUUGUCAGAUCAAGAACCUUUUUGACCAACUAGAUUCCUGCCAGAUUCUGUUAUCUAAAAAGAUUUUAUCUCACUUUGACUCCUUCAUCAAAGUUGUAGUCCUAGAUGCGUAGAUAAAUUUGGGCUUUUAAAUCGCUUGAUUUCUAUAUCAGAAGCUCAAGAUAUUCUCAUUUGAAUAUCUAAUGUGAAAGCAGAGAAUUCUGCUGCGAGAAGUAUCCUGGCCCCCAAGUUUUGCACUAAAAACUCUAUUUCUAUCAUAAAUUUUAUUGAUUUGUUCUUAGGUCAUACUCUCAGUCAUAUCGGGAUUCUCGGCAUUGUCAGUUUCUGAAUUAGAUCAGGAGACCCUUUUGAUCAACCAGAUUACUACCAGAUUCUGUUCUCUAAAAUGAUUUUAUCUCACUUCGACUCCUUCAAAGUUGUAGUCCUGAACGCGUAGAUAAAUUUGGGCUUUUGAAUCGCUUGAUUUCGAUAUCAGAAGCUCAAGAUAUUCUUGUUUGAAUAUCUAGUGUGAAAGUAGGGAUUCCUGCCAAGAGAAGGAUUUUUGCCCAAGUUUGCAGGGACACAAUUGCAAGAUGCUUAAAGUUUGAAGACCAAUUGCAGGCCAAUUUAAAGCUUUUUUUGGACCAAGGACCAAAUGGAAAAGGUGCUAGAAUAAGGAAAUUGAUUGAAGAUAAAAUUAGAAAGUAAUUUUUCCGGAUGAAGAAAUUGAAGAACAGAGAUUCGAUUAGAAAAGGAAAAUAGGGGAGCUGAUCAUGUUUUGCUCUCAUUUUUACGACGCCGUACUACCUUUUGUUUUGACACAAAUUGCACAGCCCCUUCAUGAAGAUAUAAUUAACAUAACACUGUCCAUUGUCAUUUUGAGAACAACCCCUCCCCCCGUCUGAUUUCUUUCCUGCACAAACCUUCCCGACUGAGCUCUUUCCUUUUUUUUUUCUCUAUAAAUUCCUGUUGUUUUCCUUUAUCAUCACGCCUGAUUUUUGGAGCUGCAGACCACAUUUUUAUUGCCUCAGCUCAAAGGAAACAACUGGUGCCUCAUGGUCCCAGCUAUGGAAGGAAAGAAAGGAGUCGCACCAUCCUCUAAAAUACUGGAAAGAAAUCACUGAUGAUCGAGAAUCAGAAUCAAAAUAUUUUGGUUUCCUAUUUCUGCUCACCGGAUAUUAUACCCUAUAGUUAAUGUAAUAUUUGUUUUCUAAAUAAAGCCAUGUAUAGGCUAUAUAGAUGCCUCGGCUGCUAACCUAAGGGGAGGAAGAAAACGAGAAAAAAAAAGAAAGACAAAAAACGCAAGAGAGGUAGGCAGUUAGGAGAGAAAAAACACAAAGAACAGAGGGAGUUUCUUCCUUCAUCCUUGUGUUGCUAUGAGAUCAGGAAGGCAGGCAGUAGAAGAGAAAGAAGAGAAAAUAAAAGAUGAAAAAAAGAGAGGAGAAACAAGGUAGGAGCAGGAACUGACUUUAAGUCUUUGCUCCAUUUGUUUUUGCAAAUAAAAUCUUCAGAACAGGGGAGAAGAAAGUGCAGGAACCAGUCGAGAGAGUGACGAAGACACAGAGGAAGGAAAAAGCAAGAAAUAGACACAAAUACAGAACAAAAGGAAAAAGGUUUGAAACAGACGAACAAAGACCAAGCAACCACCACGCUUUCAAUGUUGUUGCAGCUUCUUCGUCUCCCUUCGUCUCCAGGUCUGUUCUCUUCACCUUUUGCAUGCAUUUGUUUUCUUUGUGUUUGCACUGUUCAAGUGGAUUUUAAUUCACUUGAACAGUAACGUGGUCUCUUUGCAUGCAUUUUACUUUAUGUGUACUGUUCAAGUGAAUUAAUUCACUUGAACAGUAACCCGCCAGCUUUGAUUAAACUGUAACUGCACCAUUUUUGUGUCCAGCCGGGCAAGUGACUAGACCGGACCUAUUUUUUUUUUCUUCAAAAAAUAAAAGAAAGAGAAAAGGAUUUGUGAUUUUCUACCAUAUUUAUUUUAAGGUCUGAAAUUUUUUUUAUGCUGUAAAAAAUAUCAAUCUCGUAUUUAGAAUACCUGGUUUUUUGAUGCAAUGUGACAAAUAUACAUAUAGAUAAAAAAAAAAAUGUUUUCAUGCAUACGGCCAAUACCCUAACAUGUUUUGAACACUCUUUUUUAUACAAAAAAAUAUUGGAAGUUUUGAAAAUGUGUUUUCGUAAGGAUUUCUUAAACACAACAAAAAUUAUUUUCUUGCAUUUCUGGAUUUUACAACAUGUUUGUAAAACUCCAAAGGGUAUUGGCCAAUAUUCCAAAACAAAUUUAAAAAUUUUAUUUUGGGGGGAAUUCAUCUAUUAGUCACCGUUAAUGUUUGGAUAAAGAAAUCCCAAACGGAUGAAUAUCCAAAAUAUUUAAUGGGAAUAACUUGUUAUUAUUCACUGUUAAUAUUUGGAUAAAGAAACCCUAAGUGGUAAAUAUCCAAAAUAAUUUUUCAGGGAUAAUAAGUCUUCACACAUCCUUGAAAGAAGCCUUGAUUAUAAUCGAGGACAUUUCCAUUUUUUACUCCAUGGUUUACGAGCCGUGACAGUAUAAUACACUAAGGCAAAAAUAGGCUUUUAAAGCGCCCUAGAUUUCUAAAUUUUUGUCCUUCCUCUUUGCGAUUUACGAGUCGUAAACUCUUGAAAUACUAAGGAAAAAAUGAGCUUUUAAAGCACAUGGAAUCUCCUUGGAUUUCUAUCUUAAUAAAUUUAGUUUAAAUCAAACCUAGGAAAACUUAUGGGAUUAGAGAACACUAACACCAUAGCAAUUAUAAAGCAGAUCAAACAUCAAGCAGCUUACCUUAGGUAGAGCGUACUAAGGGUGCUAAUACCUCCCUUUACACAAUCAGUCCCUUGCCUUAGAAUCUCUGAAAGACCAAUUAGGGUUCCUAGUGACCAAAAUACUAGAUGGCGACUCCAUUAUUCACAAAACAAAAAAAACCCGAAAUCAAUCGAGGGCUGCCGCUCCGCCACGAGGGUGCGACAGGAUGGCGACUCCACUGGGGACCCUAGGACUAGGCUUGGUAAUUUGUUUGUUUAUGCUAUGUAUUAUUGGUUUUUAUUUUUUGUUUUUUUAUAUGAAUGAUACUUUGUUUAAAAGCUUUAGCAUGCAUCUUUACAUUCUGUCAUACAUGAUUUAGUCAUUCAUCACUUUAUUAUUAUUAUUAUUAUUAUUAUUAUUAUUAUUAUCAUCAUCAUCUUUUUGAGGGCACACACGUUAAAUUUUAAGUUAAGUGGGGGACUAGCAGCUUGCCUUAUAACUUAAGUCAAGGUUUAAGUUUGUGUAAACCCCAACUCUUUGCUAAGUGUUUAGACUGAUAGUGAUUGGUACACGUGCCAUCUCACUAUCUGCUGAACCCCCAUAUUGCCUUUACGAGGAUGAUCACUGGGACAACAAGAGACCAUUUUUAGAGACCAAGUAGUAAACCUACCAUAUGUAUCAUGUAAAGGAACUAGAACUUAUCCUUAUGGUGUAUGCUCCAUAAUAUCUUUUGCAUCGAAACAAGUCUAACCCCAAGGCAUCUUGAAUUGCAGGACUUGUGAACGAAAUGGCCACCAUUGCUAAAUUUUCCAUCAUAGAAUAUGGAAAAAAUUCUGAACUAUCACAAUUGACUGAAGGAGACUGCCUUAGAAGCGAUGCUAAGAAGCUAUCACCAAUCAAGAACCUGAAUUGCAUUAUGAAUGAGGUAAACAAGUUAACGACUCACUUUCAGAAUGUGGAUAAGGAUGCAUUUUUUAGGAAAUACGGACGUUUGGUGGACAUUGCAAGGGUAGAAGUUUUAAGUCCAGCUGUGCGAGCCUUAGUUCAUUUUUUGGAUCCAGACUACUGGUGUUUUUCUUUUGGAAACAUAGACAUAUAUCCCGUUAUGGAGGAAUAUAGGAUGUUGACUGAGUGUCCAAACAAUUUGUAUAGGAUUUAUUUUCCUUUGAGAUCUGACAAGAUCAUCCCCGAACUGUCAAAACUGCUCAGAAUCGCCAACUUAGAAAAGUUUUUGGAAAAGAAUGCUACCAGUCUGAAGUGGAGGAUGCUAGAAAUUGAACUGGAAAAGAGGUCAGGAUCAGAAAAAGAGAGAUUGAUUGCAUUGGGCAUAUUUGGCCUUGUGUUAUUUCCAAGCCAGACGGGUGUAGUGAGUUUGAAGGCCGCUGCUGCUUAUGUAGAGUAUGAGAAUACAUAAAUCAAUCCAGUUGCUGCUAUUUUAGCUGAAACAAUCUUGACACUUAACCAUUGUAGGAGGACCGGAAAAGGAGCAAUGAGAUGCUGCACGUAGUUGUUGUAUAUCUAGAUGGUUAGCCAUAGCAAAACAAAAAAACCUGUCUUCAAUAAUUUUUGGUGGUUCACCCAAAGACCCCUGAAAUUAGUAGAAGAAGAAGAAUGAGGAGAUCUAGACAAUGAAGGUUGGGUUGAUAAAUUAGAAGGUUUGCCUAAUAAUGAUUUCAAGUGGAGAGCCCCAUGGGCAACAAUAGUGAAAGUCCUAAUGAGUUGUGGACAAAGACGUUGGGUGCCAUUAGUAGGGAUUACAGGUUAUGUGAGUUAUGCUCCUGCCCUGGUGGUAAGACAACUUGGGGGCAUGCAAUUUGUUCCAAGGACUAUGGGAAUUGCUCAAUUCUUUGAUUUGUUCAAAAAUCCCAUUGCACAAGAAGUUUUGGAGAUCAUCAAACAAGAUUGGAAGCAUCUGGUUUUGGCUGAGAUAGAAGGUUUAAUGGAUCCAAGUGCAAGAUGGAGAGACUUAGCAGCUUCCGCUAUGCCUUGUGUAGGAGUCAAAUCUCUCCAAAUUGUAGAAGAGCCUAUUAAGAGGAAAAGGGUCAAUAAUGAAGAGAAGUUGCGUAAAACAAAUGUAUUAGCAUCCCAAAUACGCCCUACCUAAGAUAAGCUACAUUGUUUAAUUAUCUGAUAAAAAAAACUCAAGCGUUAUUGUGUUUUCUAAUUGUUGGUUUGUCUAAAGUUUAAGAUAAGUCCUGCUCGAUAAGGAGAUUCUUAUCUUCUCGGGGAAAAGCCUAACCAUUCUAAUGUCUAUAAAAGAAGUAUCUUUUUAAUAUCGGUAAUAUAUUUUAGGUAUAUAUUUGUAAUCCUAGAUACUAAAAUAAAACAAAAUAUUUUUUAGGUAUUUUUGAAAUAUUGGCUUAUUUCUCAUAGCUUUAUUAAACUAGUUUUCGAAUGCUAACACAUUUGUUUUUGUUUUUUUUUUGUUGUAUGAAAAUACGAUGUGAUUUUUUUUAUCUUUGAGAGACUUGGUUGUAUGUAAUUUUUUUGCAAUGUUUCAAUGAAAAUCGAGUAUUUUAAUACCAGAUUUGUAUCUUUAAAAAAUAAAAAUACAAACCAAUAUUAAGCAAAAUUGAUUAGAAAAAUACACAGGAAAAUUAAAAAAAUUUGAAAGGAUUUUUUAGAUUUUUUUGAAUUUGUUUGGACUCCACCGAACCCGGCCAAACUAUUUUUGACAUGAGCCGGACCAGGUCCGGCCCAUGAACAGUGGCUCUCCUGGUCCGGUCCAUGAACAGUGGCUCUCCUAUGUUCACAUGCUACAUGAAUAGUAAAGAGUGAAUUAUAAUUCAUUCUCCACUAUUCAUUAACAGAACAGUGGAGCGUAGAAGCGGCGGUUCCUCCUCUUUUCUCUUCUGUUUGUGCCUUACUUCUUCUUUAUGUUUUUAUACCUCCGCUUCUUUGUUUCUUCAUCUGUUUCUGACGGUGGUGUUGUUGUUGUCAAUGGUGGUUCAGGGCAGUUCUUGUGGCGGCAACGAGGAAGGUAAGCGGCGGUGCCAUUUUUUUUCCUUCCUGUUCCUUCCUUCUUUUUGUUUCCUCCCUUCUCCUUUCUUUUCCUUUUCUUUCUCUGUUUUAUUUCCUUUUGUUUCCUUCCUCUUUCUCUCCUUUCUGUCUCUAUUUCUCUCUUUGCCUUCGUCCUCUGUUCUUAAACAACCACCCCCAUGUUAGCUCUCUCCUCGGUCUCCCCCUGUUUUUUUUACCUCCUAUGUUUCCUUCUCUGUAUAUCAUCCUUUUUGUUUCAAACCAUUCCCUCAACCUUCUCUCUACGUCUUUCUCUCCCCUUUGUUUUCUCUCUCUCUGGUCCUCUUAAAAAAACACUUCAAUGUCCUCUCAAAAACUCUCUUGCAAAUCGCACCCCCCCUUUUUGUUCUCCUCACUCUAGUAUUUAUUAGGGGAAAAGGGGAGAGAGCCACCCUACCCUAUCCAAUCAUGCCGAAUGGGUAGGGUGGUUGGGCAGCUGCCCGCAGGGCUUGUCUCCUUUGUUUUUUCAUCUUAGGAGGCCAGUGGGCGUGGGUGUUGUAAGUUUUGGGUUUUUGGGAGAGAGAGGGAAAGAGGCAUUGCAUGGGAGAUUUUCUCCUUCUUUCCCUGCCUAUGCGUGUCCGAAGGAGGAAGGAGAUGUACAGUGCCAUUCAAAACGACACCGUUUCCCCCUCUCUUUUUUAACGGUGGAUGAAACAGCGUCGUUUUGAACAAAACAUGUCGUUUCAUUCAAAUAAAAUUGGUGCCAAAGAAGUCAAUUUCCAAAUCGGUCCUCAAUUUUUAAUUUAUUGAAUCAAGUCCUCAAUUGCAAUUUUGAUUUUAAGAAUCAAUUCAACUGCAUCCCUCCCAAAGAGGAUGUCAACUUUAAAGUUGACCGCCUUUUUCAUUUCGGUCAUUGGUCUUGAAUUUAUGUAUUUUGACCCUCAAUUAAUAAAUAAACUUCCAUUUUCUUCAAUUUAGUCCCUAAUUCAGUCAAUUUCAGCAUCUCUAUUUACACACCUUUUCAUGUUUGAUCCUUGGUUUCAGAUUUCUUCAAUCAAGUUCCUAAUUGGCCAUUAAACUUCAAUAUUUAUGCAAUUAAGUCUCUGAUUUGACCAAAUCAACUCUUAAAAACUAUAAUUUGACCCCUGAACUCUAAUUUCUUCCAAUUAAAGCUCAUAUUGACUUAAAAAUUAAUUUUUCUUGUAAUCAAACCCUCCAUAAAUUCAAUUAAACCUUCAAUAAAAUUUAAUUGAGUCCAUAAACAUCUGAUUUUAGCCUUUUCUUCCUCAAAUUCCUGAUUUUUUUUUGGAAUUUCUCGUUUGGCCAGAUAUUUAAAUGAAAAGAAAUAAAAUAAAGGGGAAUGAUAUGGUCGGGCUUGAGGCCCAGACCCUUCCUGGCCCCAACCCUUUUUUUAAUUGAAGCGAGAUCUAUCUCAGCCCGUACAGGCUGGGCUAGAUCCAGUACAGGCUGGGCUAGAUCCAACAGCCCAGCCCAGUUACUAGCUCCUACCAGUAACCGGCCCUUUUCUUUUUGUCAGGCGUGCGUGCCUGCUUCAGCAACUACGUAAUGAAAAUGCAAAACAGGGGAAAACAAAAGCUUGCCUGCUUUGAACAAGAACCUGCAGGUGCUGGGCGAAGCUUCUCUUUUCCGCUUCCUUUCUGCUCUUUGUCCCUUCUUUUUCUUGUUCUUCCUGUUUUCAUUUUCUCACGUUUUGUCUCUCUCUCGUCCCCUCUGUGUUUUUUCUGGUUUUCGUUCGUCCUCUCUCUGUUUUUGUUUUCUUUUUGCUUUUUCGUUCUCUCUAUUCUUUUCUGGCUUUAGUUCCUCUGUUUCUGCUUCUUUUCUUUCGUUUUUUUUCUCUGAAGUUAGUUCCUGUCUAUGCUCGUCUCCGUCUUCUAUGUUUUUCUAUUCGUCUUUGUUGUUUCCUCCUUUGUCUUCUGUUUUUUCUCUUGUUCCCCCUGUGCUUUUCUGUUCGUCCCCUGGUUCUCUCGGUUUGCUCUCAGUCCCCCAGUCUACCUCUAUUUGCCAUAGUAAUAUAUAUGUAGUAGCAUGAGGGGGAGUGUUGGUGUAAGGCUAGUAAUAUGUUUAUUUAGUUUUCUUGUAAAUAUAGGUAUCAAUGUAAAUAGAGCAUCUACACACACUAAUCAAGGAAAUAACUCAUCAUACAAUAUUUUUACCCUAAAAUUACUUGGUAACUGAAAAUGUACAAAUGAAUCAGCUAAUAUAUAUAUUGAUGGUACGCCUACUGGUACCCAUAUAAUAUAUUCUUUCUUGCUUACAGAUAAGAUACCAGGAUAUUGUGAAAAAUGAAGAAUGAACACACUAUCUUGAAAAUUUCUAAAACCAUCUUUCAAGGUCUAUAUGAAGCAAUAACCUCACAGUUCUCUCACUAACACAUCUAUCUUACUGCAUAUGGUAAGCACGAACAUACAAAGAUCCUGAACGUUAACUUAAACUACAUCAUCAUCAUAAUCAUCAUCAUCAUCAUCAUCAUCAUCAAUCAAUCCUUCCCUAACAUCUCCAGUAAUGCCCCUUUGUCCCCCCUUACAAGGACCAUAAGCCUUGCUACAAGCAAGAUAAUAAAUGAAGUUAGCAAAACCCAAACUAGAAAGCAGCCAGUAAUAGUAAUCAUAAUGUCCUUUGUUGAUGUUGCUUGAAACCCAACUCUCUUGAUUUGCUUCACGAAUAAACCCACGAACAUUACUUACUAUAAAACUGGCCACCAAGCUUGCAGCAGAGAGUCCAAUACUAAAAAGAUUCGAGGCCACGCUAGACAUGCUUUUAGG
Molecule: long non-coding RNA, 21287 nt
Filed under: Populus trichocarpa (black cottonwood)
Lineage: Eukaryota; Viridiplantae; Streptophyta; Magnoliopsida; Malpighiales; Salicaceae
Description: long non-coding RNA (PTRI_LNC003969)
Source: RNAcentral